AAGCCUGAUGCAGCGACGCCGCGUGAGGGAUGACGGCCUUCGGGUUGUAAACCUCUUUCAGUAGGGAAGAAGCGAAAGUGACGGUACCUGCAGAAGAAGCGCCGGCUAACUACGUGCCAGCAGCCGCGGUAAUACGUAGGGCGCAAGCGUUAUCCGGAAUUAUUGGGCGUAAAGAGCUCGUAGGCGGUUUGUCGCGUCUGCCGUGAAAGUCCGGGGCUCAACUCCGGAUCUGCGGUGGGUACGGGCAGACUAGAGUGAUGUAGGGGAGACUGGAAUUCCUGGUGUAGCGGUGAAAUGCGCAGAUAUCAGGAGGAACACCGAUGGCGAAGGCAGGUCUCUGGGCAUUAACUGACGCUGAGGAGCGAAAGCAUGGGGAGCGAACAGGAUUAGAUACCCUGGUAGUCCAUGCCGUAAACGUUGGGCACUAGGUGUGGGGGACAUUCCACGUUUUCCGCGCCGUAGCUAACGCAUUAAGUGCCCCGCCUGGGGAGUACGGCCGCAAGGCUAAAACUCAAAGGAAUUGACGGGGGCCCGCACAAGCGGCGGAGCAUGCGGAUUAAUUCGAUGCAACGCGAAGAACCUUACCAAGGCUUGACAUGAACCGGACCGCCGCAGAAAUGUGGUUUCCCCUUUGGGGUUGGUUUACAGGUGGUGCAUGGUUGUCGUCAGCUCGUGUCGUGAGAUGUUGGGUUAAGUCCCGCAACGAGCGCAACCCUCGUUCUAUGUUGCCAGCACGUGAUGGUGGGGACUCAUAGGAGACUGCCGGGGUCAACUCGGAGGAAGGUGGGGACGACGUCAAAUCAUCAUGCCCCUUAUGUCUUGGGCUUCACGCAUGCUACAAUGGCCGGUACAAAGGGUUGCGAUACUGUGAGGUGGAGCUAAUCCCAAAAAGCCGGUCUCAGUUCGGAUUGGGGUCUGCAACUCGACCCCAUGAAGUCGGAGUCGCUAGUAAUCGCAGAUCAGCAACGCUGCGGUGAAUACGUUCCCGGGCCUUGUACACACCGCCCGUCAAGUCACGAAAGUUGGUAACACCCGAAGC
Molecule: ribosomal RNA, 1039 nt
Filed under: Arthrobacter sp.
Lineage: Bacteria; Bacillati; Actinomycetota; Actinomycetes; Micrococcales; Micrococcaceae
Description: bacterial SSU rRNA
Rfam family: Bacterial small subunit ribosomal RNA
Source: RNAcentral